UCCGGGGGGUGCAAUCGUUAUUCGGAAUCAUUGGGCGUAAAGAGCGCGUAGGCGGUCUUCUAUGUCAGGUGUGAAAGCCCGGGGCUCAACCUCGGAAGUGCACUUGAAACUGGGAGACUUGAGUAUGGGAGAGGGAAGUGGAAUUCCUGGUGUAGCGGUGAAAUGCGUAGAUAUCAGGAGGAACACCGGUGGCGAAGGCGACUUCCUGGACCAAUACUGACGCUGAGGCGCGAAGGCGUGGGGAGAAAACAGG
RNAcentral lists this ribosomal RNA (253 nucleotides) under uncultured bacterium. RNAcentral's name for it is "partial 16S ribosomal RNA". It matches the Rfam family "Bacterial small subunit ribosomal RNA", at positions 524 to 776 of the family's 1533-position model. The record is from RNAcentral.